RNAcentral lists this long non-coding RNA (351 nucleotides) under Glycine max (soybean). RNAcentral describes it as "long non-coding RNA (GMAX_LNC001631)". The record is from RNAcentral. Lineage: Eukaryota; Viridiplantae; Streptophyta; Magnoliopsida; Fabales; Fabaceae.
AUAUGUAAAAAAAAAAAAUAGAUUAACAGUAGUCAUGCACCUCAAGAGCCUAAACUAUGUAUAAUUAAUACAGAAGAUAAACAAAUAGUAACAUUUGUGCCCACGAUCAAGACUUGGAGAAAUUGAUGAAGUUAAUGAGAGCAUUUGCUGCUUCCCUCAGAAACAAUAACAUGAAGCUUUUGGCCAAACUCGCAAUGCUUGCCAACAGAAGAGAAGUAAAAAUAGUCCCCAGGCUUCUCCAAAGUAGAAGAGGAGUUUCCUCUAGAUGAUAUUUCUGGUAGUGCAAUGAUCGUAGUCGUUCUUGUCUACUUGAACCACCGUGUUCAAUCCUGGGUGGUACUGGAAAACUGC